This 253-nucleotide ribosomal RNA is filed under the name uncultured bacterium. RNAcentral's name for it is "partial 16S ribosomal RNA". It matches the Rfam family "Bacterial small subunit ribosomal RNA", at positions 524 to 776 of the family's 1533-position model. The record is from RNAcentral.
CACGGGGGGAGCAAGCGUUGUCCGGAAUCACUGGGCGUAAAGGGCGUGUAGGCGGUCAAGUAAGUGGAAUGUGAAAGCCCCCGGCUUACCCGGGGAUCUGCAUCCCAAACUGCUUGGCUUGAGUACGGGAGAGGAUAGGGGAAUUCCUGGUGUAGCGGUGAAAUGCGUAGAUAUCAGGAGGAACACCGGUGGCGAAGGCGCCUAUCUGGCCCGAUACUGACGCUGGGGCGCGAAAGCUAGGGGAGCAAACGGG